RNAcentral lists this ribosomal RNA (148 nucleotides) under uncultured bacterium. Its description in RNAcentral is "partial 16S ribosomal RNA". It matches the Rfam family "Bacterial small subunit ribosomal RNA", at positions 1339 to 1500 of the family's 1533-position model. The record is from RNAcentral.
UAAUCACAGGUCAGCAUACUGUGGUGAAUACGUUCCCGGGCCUUGUACACACCGCCCGUCACACCAUGAGAGUUGAGAAUACCCGAAGCCCAUGUCAAAGUGGUCGAAGGUAGGCUUGAUGAUUGGGGUGAAGUCGUAACAAGGUAUC